Molecule: transfer RNA, 73 nt
Filed under: Hungatella hathewayi
Lineage: Bacteria; Bacillati; Bacillota; Clostridia; Lachnospirales; Lachnospiraceae
Description: tRNA-Thr
Rfam family: tRNA
About the family: Transfer RNA (tRNA) molecules are approximately 80 nucleotides in length. Their secondary structure includes four short double-helical elements and three loops (D, anti-codon, and T loops).
Source: RNAcentral
GCCGAUUUAGUUCAAUAGGCAGAACAACUGACUUGUAAUCAGUAGGUUGAGGGUUCGAGUCCCUUGAUCGGCU